UCAAGCUAUGAAGAGCGCAGGGCGGAUGCCUUGGCGCCAGGAGCCGAAGAAGGACGGGGUAAGCACCGAAAUGCCACGGGGAGUCGCAAGCAGGCAUCGAUCCGUGGAUCUCCGAAUGGGGCAACCCACUACCUGUAAUGGGGUAGUAUCCUUACCUGAACAAAAUAGGGUAAGGAAGGUAACCGAGGGAACUGAAACAUCUAAGUACCUCGAGGAAAAGAAAUCAAACGAGAUUCCCUAAGUAGCGGCGAGCGAACGGGGAAGAGCCUAAACCCAUACAAUGUCAAGCCCGCAAGCGUUGUUGUAUGGGGGUUGUACGGCUUAAUGGGAGCGAUUGCGGUAGCUCGCAGGAGAGAUAGGAUCUAGCAGAAGGUUCUGGAAAGGACCCCCAAAGAGAGUGAAAGGCUCGUAUGCGAAAGGUUCUAAGUCCCUGUAUUAAGUUCGUGAGUAGCACGGGUCACGUGGAAUCCUGUGUGAAACUGGGAAGACCACUUUCCAAGGCUAAAUACUCCCUGGCGACCGAUAGAGAACAGUACCGUGAGGGAAAGGUGAAAAGCACCCCGGGAGGGGAGUGAAAUAGAACCUGAAACCCUGUGCUUACAAACAGUCGGAGGACGUUGAUGUCUGACGGCGUACUUUUUGUAGAACGGACCGGCGAGUUAUGUUAGGCAGCGAGGUUAAGCAUGUAAGAUGCGAAGCCGUAGGGAAACCGAGUCUGAAAAGGGCGCAUGAGUUGUCUGACAUAGACCCGAAACCGAGUGAUCUACCCAUGGCCAGGGUGAAGUUGAGGUAAAACUCAAUGGAGGCCCGAACCCACUAACGUUGAAAAGUUAGGGGAUGAGCUGUGGGUAGGGGUGAAAAGCCAAUCGAACUCGGAGAUAGCUGGUUCUCCUCGAAAUAGCUUUAGGGCUAGCCUCAGAGUAAGAGUCAUGGAGGUAGAGCACUGAUCGAGCUAGGGGCCCAACAAGGUUACCGAACUCUUUCAAACUCCGAAUGCCAUGAGUUAAUCUCUGGGAGUCAGACUGCGGGGGAUAAGCUCCGUAGUCGAAAGGGAAACAGCCCAGACCGACAGCUAAGGUCCCCAAGUGCGAACUAAGUGGAAAAGGAUGUGGAACUGCACAGACAACCAGGAUGUUGGCUUAGAAGCAGCCACGCAUUUAAAGAGUGCGUAAUAGCUCACUGGUCAAGUGGUUCUGCGCCGAAAAUGUAACGGGGCUCAAGUUCGCCACCGAAGCUUCGGAUACGCUGAUUACUGAUGUAGUUGGUGUAUGGUAGAGGAGCGUUCCAACAGCGUCGAAGGUAGACCGAAAGGACUGCUGGAGCGGUUGGAAGUGAGAAUGCCGGUAUGAGUAGCGAAAAGGAAGGUGAGAAUCCUUCCCGCCGAAAACCUAAGGAUUCCUGAGGAAGGUUCGUCCGCUCAGGGUAAGUCGGGACCUAAGACGAGGCCGAAGGGCGUAGUCGAUGGACAACAGGUUGAAAUUCCUGUACCACCGAAGAUCGUUUGAGUGAAGUGGUGACACAGAAGGGUAGGUCAUCAUCCUGAUGGAUGGGUGUCCAAGCGAGUAGGGAGCAAGGUAGGCAAAUCCGCCUUGCACGAUCCUGAGACGUGAUGGGGAAGCGAAUUAAGUAGCCGAACUGAUUGAUCCCAUGCUGUCAAGAAAAGCCACUAGCGAGAUUGUAGGUGCCCGUACCGCAAACCGACACAGGUAGGUAAGGAGAGAAUCCUAAGGCGCGCGAGAGAACCCCUGUUAAGGAACUCGGCAAAAUGACUCCGUAACUUCGGGAUAAGGAGUGCCUUUGUAGUGUGACAUUGAACAGAUGAAGCAUGAAGAGGCCGCAGAGAAAUGGCCCAAGCGACUGUUUAUCAAAAACACAGGUCUCUGCUAAGUGGCAACACGAAGUAUAGGGGCUGACGCCUGCCCAAUGCCGGAAGGUUAAGAGGAGAGGUUAGGAGCAAUCCGAAGCUUCGAAUCGAAGCCCCGGUCAAUGGCGGCCGUAACUAUAACGGUCCUAAGGUAGCGAAAUUCCUUGUCGGGUAAGUUCCGACCUGCACGAAAGGCGUAACGACUUGGGCGCUGUCUCGACAGGGGGCUCGGCGAAAUUGUAGUACCUGUGAAGAUGCAGGUUACCCGCGACAAGACGGAAAGACCCCAUGGAGCUUCACUGCAGCUUGGUAUUGAAUUUUGGUAUGGAAUGUAUAGGAUAGGUGGGAGACUUGGAAGCCGGGACGCUAGUUUCGGUGGAGUCAGAAGUGGAAUACCACUCUUUUCAUAGUAGAGUUCUAACUGGCGGCCAUGAAUCUGGUCACAGGACAGUAUCAGGUGGGCAGUUUGACUGGGGCGGUCGCCUCCUAAAAGGUAACGGAGGCGCCCAAAGGUUCCCUCGGUGCGGAUGGAAAUCGCACGAAAGAGUGUAAAGGCAGAAGGGAGCUUAACUGCGAGACAGACAAGUCGAGCAGGUACGAAAGUAGGGCUUAGUGAUCCGGUGGUUCUGUGUGGAAGGGCCAUCGCUCAACGGAUAAAAGCUACCCUGGGGAUAACAGGCUUAUCUCCCCCAAGAGUUCACAUCGACGGGGAGGUUUGGCACCUCGAUGUCGGCUCGUCGCAUCCUGGAGCUGAAGAAGGUUCCAAGGGUUGGGCUGUUCGCCCAUUAAAGCGGUACGCGAGCUGGGUUCAGAACGUCGUGAGACAGUUCGGUCCCUAUCUGUCGCGGGCGCAGGAGAUUUGCGAGGAUCUGUCCCUAGUACGAGAGGACCGGGAUGGACGCACCGCUGGAGUACCAGUUGUAUCGCCAGAUGCACGGCUGGAUACCCAAGUGCGGGACGGAUAAGCGCUGAAAGCAUCUAAGCGCGAAGCCAGCCUCAAGAUGAGAUCUCCCACAGAGUGAAUCUGGUAAGACCCCUCAUAGAAGAUGAGGUAGAUAGGCCGGGUGUGUAAGGGCAGUAAUGUCUUAAGCUGACCGGUACUAAUGGUUCGAGGGCUUGACCUA
This 2988-nucleotide ribosomal RNA is filed under the name bioreactor metagenome. RNAcentral describes it as "bacterial LSU rRNA". It matches the Rfam family "Bacterial large subunit ribosomal RNA". The record is from RNAcentral.